UUGCUUCAGUAGCAUAUGGACUAAAAUUUGAAUUAAUCAGAAUAGAUUAGCAUGGCCACUAAACAAGGAUAAUACUCAAAUUCAUGAAACAUUGAAGCUUUUU
Molecule: small nuclear RNA, 103 nt
Organism: Gracilinanus agilis (Agile Gracile Mouse Opossum)
Lineage: Eukaryota; Metazoa; Chordata; Mammalia; Didelphimorphia; Didelphidae
Source: RefSeq, a predicted model, not a curated record